GUCUUAUUAGCUCAAUGGUAGAGCAAAAAUAUUUAUAAUAUUUUGAUCCUAGUUCGAAUCUAGGAUAAGAAU
Non-coding RNA from Arthroderma sp. PD_2, 72 nucleotides. The record is from the annotation of a GenBank genome assembly. NCBI's taxonomy places the organism in Eukaryota, Fungi, Ascomycota, Eurotiomycetes, Onygenales, Arthrodermataceae.